GGGGGUUUACGAGGCAUUUGUAUUGACAUGUAUAUCAUGCAUCACAUUCCCAAGUUUACCAAGAUGAGCUUUGACCUUUCUAAGCGAGGCAUUUGACAAGAGAAUCCGAGACCUAGAGUAUCAUGCACCGUACUUUCCCCAUGUAUGAACGUACUAACUAUUGAAAUUAGCUUGCAGUCUGGUUUUUAACCAAGGAAAAUGUUUGAACGAUCUGGGACUAGGACCAAGUAUCAUGCACCUCACUCUGUCCCUAUCACAAGUUUAUUAUGAUAGCUUACAAUGGGGUUUUAAUUGAGGCAUUUGUAUAGAAAACCGGGGACCAAGUAUCAUAUACCACACUCUUUUUCAUUUAUAAAAGCUUAUUGAAUUUAGCUUGCAAUGUGGUUUUAAACCAAGGAAAUUCUUUGAACAACCAGGAUUAAGACCAAUUAUCAUGCACCACGCUCUGUCCCAAUCAUAAACUUAUGAUGAGUUUCUAACCGAGGCAUUUGUAUAGAUGGACAAUCCAGGACCAAGUAUCAUGAACCACACCC
RNAcentral lists this long non-coding RNA (533 nucleotides) under Capsella rubella. Its description in RNAcentral is "long non-coding RNA (CRUB_LNC004786)". The record is from RNAcentral. Lineage: Eukaryota; Viridiplantae; Streptophyta; Magnoliopsida; Brassicales; Brassicaceae.